AGAGACGGGUAGAGGGCAAACUCCACUAAACCCGUUUCAGUGUGUGGAAUCACUCGGGAGUUUCUGGAAGACGGCGAUUAUUGGAGGAUUUAUUUUAGUCUGGCCAGCACCGGACACAUGCAGCAGUGUUAUACCUCUCUUUUGGAUGAGGGUGACAUAUGGCUGGUGGACAUGGGAUCCAGAGUGACAGCUUCCUGUUUACAAGCUGCCCAGAGACUUCUGUAGUAGCAGGGGGUGUGUUAGAGAGACACUGCUUGGGCUGUUUUGAAGAGAACAGGGGACCUUGGGUACGACACAAUCUUGUUCCUUUUGGAUCUGGAGCAGAUCGAUAUGUCAGCCAUAACUCCGUUCUACCGCACCCGUGCGUAGAUGGACAAUGGAGGAUCCAUUGUUUUAUAACCCACUUAUCUGGACCAGAGUCCUGGCCUCUACCACCUUUGUGGGCCAGGCUUGUAAGAGUUGAGUUCACUAAGUUGGGUGACCUGCAAGAAGAGGCUUGGUGGAAAUCUGCCAGCAACAUGGUGGAGGUUUUCUCCAUAAAGUCCACCAGGCUGCUGCAGCAGGUGGUGGAAGGGGUCCGUGCUGCACCACCGAGAGCUGCUGCGGAGUAGGCGGUCCGAGGAGCCACCACGCCGGACACCGAGUGACCGACCACUUACCUGAGAGGCCUAUCAGUUGUAUUUGUCCCAUACCCGAUCCCCCAACGUUCAUGAAAGAACAACUUUUGUUUGAGCACCAGAAAUCGGUCUCCCACUGUCUUAUUUUAUUGUCUUGUCUCAUUGCUGCAACUCCCCAACGGGCUCGGGAGAGGUGAACGUCGAGUCUUGUGUCCCCCGAAACAUGACCUGCCUAACCGCACUUCUUAACACGUGCCCGCUUAAACUACACCAAUGUGUGAGAGGAAACACUGUGCAACUGACGAACAUAGUCAGCCUGCAGAAACCCAGCCUGCCACAAGGAGACGCAAGAGUGCGAUGAGCCAAGUAAAAACCUCCCUGGCUAAACAUUCCCCUAACCCAGACGACGCUUGCUCAAUUGUGCAUCGCCCUGUGGGACUCCCGGUCAAGGCCGGUUGUGACAUUGGCUGGGAUUGAACACAG
RNAcentral lists this long non-coding RNA (1100 nucleotides) under Salmo salar (Atlantic salmon). Its description in RNAcentral is "lncRNA (ENSSSAG00000088673.1)". Lineage: Eukaryota; Metazoa; Chordata; Actinopteri; Salmoniformes; Salmonidae. The record is from RNAcentral.